CGAAGGUCCCAAGCGUUAUCCGGAUUUAUUGGGUUUAAAGGGUGCGUAGGCGGGCUAUUAAGUCAGUGGUGAAAGCCUCAAGCUUAACUUGAGAAUUGCCAUUGAUACUGAUGACCCUGAGUACAUUUGAAGUGGGCGGAAUGUGUCAUGUAGCGGUGAAAUGCUUAGAUAUGACACAGAACACCGAUUGCGUAGGCAGCUCACUAAACUGUAACUGACGCUGAGGCACGAAAGCGUGGGGAGCAAACAGGAUUAGAUACCCUGGUAGUCCACGCCCUAAACGAUGAUCACUCGAUGUGUGCGAUACACUGUACGCGUCCGAGCGAAAGCAUUAAGUGAUCCACCUGGGGAGUACGGCCACAAGGCUG
This 368-nucleotide ribosomal RNA is filed under the name uncultured organism. RNAcentral describes it as "bacterial SSU rRNA". It matches the Rfam family "Bacterial small subunit ribosomal RNA", at positions 526 to 896 of the family's 1533-position model. The record is from RNAcentral.